UACGGAGGGUGCAAGCGUUAAUCGGAAUUACUGGGCGUAAAGCGCACGCAGGUGGCUGAGUCAGUCGAUUGUGAAAUCCCCGGGCUCAACCCGGGAACUGCGUCCGAUACUGGCAGGCUUGAAUCCGGGAGAGGGAUGCGGAAUUCCAGGUGUAGCGGUGAAAUGCGUAGAUAUCGGUAGGAACACCAGUGGCGAAGGCGGUCUCCUGGGGCAUUCUUGACGCUGAGGCGCGAAAGCUGGGGGAGCGAACGGG
RNAcentral lists this ribosomal RNA (253 nucleotides) under uncultured prokaryote. RNAcentral's name for it is "partial 16S ribosomal RNA". It matches the Rfam family "Bacterial small subunit ribosomal RNA", at positions 524 to 776 of the family's 1533-position model. The record is from RNAcentral.